RNAcentral lists this ribosomal RNA (429 nucleotides) under uncultured fungus. RNAcentral's name for it is "partial small subunit ribosomal RNA". It matches the Rfam family "Eukaryotic small subunit ribosomal RNA", at positions 30 to 432 of the family's 1831-position model. The record is from RNAcentral. Lineage: Eukaryota; Fungi.
GCUUGUCUCAAAGAUUAAGCCAUGCAUGUCUAAGUACAAGCCUCAGUAAGGUGAAACCGCGAAUGGCUCAUUAAAUCACACCUAAUCUACUGGAAAGUUACUAGUUACUUGGAUAACUGAGGUAAUUCUUGAGCUAAUACAUGCACUGAAGCCCCGACUCCGGCAACGGCAGAAGGGGUGCUUUUAUUAGAUCAAAACCAAUGGGAGGCGGCCGUCAAAAAGCCGCCACCGUCCUUGAUGGUGACUCUGAAUAACUUUGGCUGAUCGCACGGCUUUAACGCCGGCGACGCAUCUUUCAAAUGUCUGCCUUAUCAACUUUCGAUGGUAGGUUAUGCGCCUACCAUGGUUGCAACGGGUAACGGGGAAUCGGGGUUCGAUUCCGGAGAGGGAGCCUGAGAAACGGCUACCACAUCCAAGGAAGGCAGCAGG